Molecule: long non-coding RNA, 3763 nt
Organism: Bubalus bubalis (water buffalo)
Lineage: Eukaryota; Metazoa; Chordata; Mammalia; Artiodactyla; Bovidae
Exons: 2
Source: RefSeq, a predicted model, not a curated record
AAGCACAGGGGAGGUUAACAGGGGCUCUUCAGAGUCCUCUGAACUUGAGAGAAUAAUCUUCAAGCAGAUAGAAGGAUGCAACUUCCCAUUCUCUUGAAGACCGACUCCCAGCCUAAUUCCCAAUUCCCAGGUUCCAGAAUGCUACAGGGAAGGGAUACUUCCAGGAUGGGCCUGGUGUCCCAUGGCCUGGAGGCUCUCCUUGGACUUGGGUUUUGGGAGAGGCUGGAUGUCGAUCCUGAAGUACCAUAGGGGUCAAGGCGAGAAGGGCUAAGAGCUUGGAUCAGGCAAUAACGCUGAAAUUCAACGGGGACCCAAAUACCUCCAUCCUUGUCCCCCUUGGGUCUACACACACAAAAAUUCAAACAGAUCCCCUGUCAAGAUAAAUGCUGUUGAAAUAACUUCCAAAGCCACAGCUUAGGUGAAGACCGUAAGAAAAGGAGAAGGAAAAUAAACAGAUACUCAAGUAAAAGUAAACUGGGAUUGAUCAGUAAAAUUAUAGUAACGGCAUUUUGUUUCAGAGAGUUCCCCAGGAUUUCAUUGAUGGAAAAGAAAGGCAAUACACCAAAACCCCGAUCUCCCCAGAAAUAAAGACAUCUGUGAAAACCACGAUCCGACCACUAGAUUUUUUACAAGCCUAGCUGGGCACAGAAUAGGCUCUUGGCCUCUUCCUUCUCCCAGCUCUUCUCACAACUUACUGGGCAGUUAAGACCCUAGCGGAACAGAACCUUAACAAGCAUUAAUAAAGACCACAAACCUCAGCCAGAGGCUUCUUCUAACAUACUGUUUAACAGUAAACAGGGGAAAAAAAUGCUAUUUAUCAGAGUCUUUGGGCCCACUGCCCCUUUAAGCUGUCCUACCCACCCCAGGAAGACAGGGCCUUUAAACAUAAGGUCCUAGGUGCAGGCAGUAGAAAUGCUAAGACAACUAGAUAAUCCAGCCACUCUACACCUUGGUCUUAAAAAGCAAGGACAGAAAGACAGCAGGUAGCAGUUAUGACUUCCCCCCUCACCUUAGUAUCCAUGAACUUGAUGUAUUUGAGUCCAUAAUUGAACGUUAUCUCAUACAUACUGUGGUAUAGUAAUAUAUUUAUUCCUUAUAUUUGAAUUAUUUUAAAAGGAGUUUCUCUACAUUUCAGCAGCUACUCUGCUGAUAUAUGAUAGUCUUUUCCUUGUUUUUCAACAAAUUGUUUUUAAAAAGCCAAACAACUAUUAAGACAGCUUAGUGUACAUAAAUUUUCUGUGGUGGAUUCUCCUAUACAAAUAUUUCGGUGUAAUUUUCUCUCUUUUAACUUCAGAAAUGAAUAACUACUUCAGUGCCAAGAGUAUAUUAGCACAUCUGAAAAGUAUUCAGAUGCCUGUAACAUAACUUACCCUACUUGGAAGUAUUGUUUAAAAAUUGAGUUAUUAUUCAUAUACCUCCUACAUUGGCCUACAAAGAGAGGGAAAAACACAACCUAAUGCGAUGAUAGUGACACCCUUUAAAAAUUCUCUGUGGAGGGGCUGCAACAGAAAUCAAGUUUUAUCAAAACACUGGUUAUUUGUCCUGAUUCUAUAUUCCACUUUAAGUUGGAGAUAAUACUAACUUAAUAUAGCAUUCUUCCCCCUAAAAAGCAUAAUCAGCUUUUCUUCAACAUGGAGGCUUAAGUGGAUUUAUUCACCCUAUGCAAAUGUUGCUUUUUAGAACAUUGUGUUUCUGCACAGGCUAAGCAUUUAUUGUGCAGAAUAAACGGCUGGGACGUUGCAAGCUUCACCACUGCUCACGAUAAAGAGAAGCAUUAAGAAUCAGGCCCAGAAAAGGCAGAUACCAUGUGGAAAGAAAGGUAGAAAAGCCAGCACGAGGGGAGAUGGAGGAAGAAAAUAGAAAAAAAGGAAAGGGUGAUAGAAUUGCCUAUUUUAUUCGCGGGGUGGGCAGGUGGGGGAAGAGCCAAUUCUACCUGAGUAGGAAGGGUGAGAGGCCCCAGUGUUUACAUUUCAGACGCUGACAGUGGGGUCACGUCGGAAUUUAACUACUUAUAGGGUUUUAGAGAGUGAGGGAAGCUAUGUGUGAGAACUCCAAGUCCAGCUCCAAGAAAGGUUAUAAAUGGAAUUGGGGGCACAUGGGUCAGGAAACGGGCCUUCUGGAGUGGUCGGGGGAUUAUUUCCUUUGAUCAGCCUGUCCCGGGAUCCCCGGAUAACUGCCCGCCCCCCCCCCCGCCCCUCCAAAAAGGGAGAGCGUUGCGGUGGGGAGGGGAGUCCGGGCUGGCCCCCACUGGACACGAGGAUCGAUGGCUCAGCGGCCCAGGGACCGCCAAGAGCACCCAGCGCGGAUCCGAGCAUCAAGGGGCGGGCGCUCGCAUCCCUGCCGCAGGGACCGGCGAGGCCCAGGCCGCCGCCGCCGCCGCCGCCGCCGCGAGCCGAGCGGGGACGCAGUCCUGCGCGCUGGGAACCCGAAAACCAAACGGCCCGGGUCCCCGCCCCCGGGGGAACCGGAGGGCCGGCACCCGCGCCGUCAGCUUCCAGCUCAGUGCGCGAAGCGGCAGAGCACGGCCCCAGCUCGGGGCAAUCUCCGGGCCGGGAGGGAAGGUCCCCUCCCCUCGGAGGUGAAAAGGCCGCAAGGGCCUGAGGUUGCGGGCGCCGUCAGGGGGUUCCCCUUGCGGGGGGCGGGGGGCGCUUCACCGCCACAACCCCAGGCCUCCGUCUGGUCGGGAAGUGCUGGGCCCUGGGGCCAGCCGCUGGCUUAGAGGGGCCGUGGAGGUUUUAUGAGAGCCCGGUGGGAAAUCUCCUUUUGGAAACAUCAUUUAAGGCGGGCCGAUCCCGAUGAGAAAACAACGUAGCUGGCAGACCGGCCUCCGGGGAAAACGGGCUCCCAGCCUGGGGGCAUCGGCCAGGCCACAGACGGCCUGGCGGGUCCCGGCGGCAGGAGCGAGGCCUGGGGUUCCAGACUCGGGCCCCCCGGGCCCGGCUCCUCGCGCAGAUUCCCCGCCCCUCCCCGUAGCCUCGGCCGCUGGCCAGGCGUUGGGGCCCCCGCCUGGCGGCUGCUUCCUCGUCACCGCCGCCGCCACCGCGCCGAUAAAUCAGCCAAGUAAUUGCCGAACGUAAACUCCAGUUACUUAAGUGUCCUCUGAGGGGUAAUCUCGUCUGUCCUUAUAAAUCCCGACCGAGCUCGCGCUCAUCGGCGCUCCGGCCCUGCGCGCGCGCCCACCCGGCGCCCGAGGCCGCAGCUGCCCUCACCCCAAAAGGGGGCACGCCCCCGCCCCCACCUAAGGCAGGGGCGGGGCGGGCGGGCGGGAAGGGGCCCCACCGCGGGCGGUGGGCCUCAAGGAGCCUCUGCAGCCCGCCCCGUCCUCCUCUUGGGAAAACUUUCUCCAAAAUGACGGAAACCAAUUUCUCAGCACCCUCUAGGGCCCGUGUGAUAAAACGUGUGACGGCGCGUGUGAGUAUAGGGUCAACAGGUGCUCCUCGGGGAACCUGGAUUUCCAGACUUCUCUGCUGCACCCCGAACCCCAACCGGUUCCCGGCCCCAGACCAAGGCGCGAAGAGGGUGGGAAGACGCGGUCAACGCCGAGCCGGCCGGAACCCAGCGGCCACGCCGCGCUCCGCUGCCCGGAGGCGGCCGAACCCGGUCUCGGGGUGCCCAGGCGGGCGCUCAUGGCUCCCCGCUGUUCCGAGGGCCGGGAAGGAGGUGUACUGCGGCUCCCCGGUGCCCUCCGGUCGUCCCUGGACUCAGCCAAGUCUCCUCGCGAUGGGUGUGGGCAAUUAAUAAAUUCUAUGGGAAGUGAAUUGGA